Molecule: long non-coding RNA, 656 nt
Filed under: Brassica napus (rape)
Lineage: Eukaryota; Viridiplantae; Streptophyta; Magnoliopsida; Brassicales; Brassicaceae
Description: long non-coding RNA (BNAP_LNC016412)
Source: RNAcentral
AUAAUAGAAUGAGCAAAUUGCUUAUAAAGAUAUAAAACCAUAAAAGGGGAAGUGUAUUAAAAGAAACAUAGAAAGCAUGCAAUGAACAAAAGUCUGAAGAUAGAAAUGGUAAACAUAAAAACGGAACUUAAAUUGCAGCAAAAUCAAUCACGGCAUAAGAGGAUUGAUAAAGCUGUAUUAGCCACUCUUGGGACGUUUAGCUUCAUCCGAUUCCAUACCAUCAAAGGAUUUCCUAACCCUCUCACCCACAGUACCAUCAAGACCUCUGAUAGGAGCGGAUUCCUCACUUACAGACUUCAAGACAUCAUCAGAUGUUGAUGGAACAGCGUGUUCUUCCAAGAGAGCUACAUGAUGUGGAGCCUCUGGUGGGAAUACCUUCGUGACAGUAAUGGUUUGGGUCUUCCCUGACAAAUUAUGAUCGGAGACUUUCACAAUGAAUUUAUGUGUCUGCCCUAUUGUAUCGAGUAGAGCCUGCGGCACCGACAUGCACUGAUCAACCCCUACGCCCUCAUUACACUAACAUUCAAGAAAAAUAUAUGUAAGUUCAACUAACUUGGAGCUAUGUAUAGACAGGUUUGAAAUUACCUCAACUGCUCCUUUUUAUAGACGCAUCGUUUAUGUCCAAGCACAACUGCUUUGGCUCUGUAGAGUUUUAC